CAGGGAUUGCCUUAGUAACGGUGAGUGAAGCGGCAAAAGCUCAAAUUUGAAAUCUGGCACCUUCGGUGUCCGAGUUGUAAUUUGAAGAAGGUAACUUUGGAGUUGGCUCUUGUCUAUGUUCCUUGGAACAGGACGUCACAGAGGGUGAGAAUCCCGUGCGAUGAGAUGCCCAAUUCUAUGUAAAGUGCUUUCGAAGAGUCGAGUUGUUUGGGAAUGCAGCUCUAAGUGGGUGGUAAAUUCCAUCUAAAGCUAAAUAUUGGCGAGAGACCGAUAGCGAACAAGUACAGUGAUGGAAAGAUGAAAAGAACUUUGAAAAGAGAGUGAAAAAGUACGUGAAAUUGUUGAAAGGGAAGGGCUUGAGAUCAGACUUGGUAUUUUGCGAUCCUUUCCUUCUUGGUUGGGUUCCUCCCAGCUUACUGGGCCAGCAUCGGUUUGGAUGGUAGGAUAAUGACUAAGGAAUGUGGCUCUACUUCGGUGGAGUGUUAUAGCCUUGGUUGAUACUGCCUGUCUAGACCGAGGACUGCGUCUUUUGACUAGGAUGUUGGCAUAAUGAUCUUAAGCC
Molecule: ribosomal RNA, 562 nt
Filed under: Debaryomyces hansenii
Lineage: Eukaryota; Fungi; Ascomycota; Pichiomycetes; Serinales; Debaryomycetaceae
Description: partial large subunit ribosomal RNA
Rfam family: Eukaryotic large subunit ribosomal RNA
Source: RNAcentral